Molecule: ribosomal RNA, 234 nt
Filed under: uncultured Lactobacillus sp.
Lineage: Bacteria; Bacillati; Bacillota; Bacilli; Lactobacillales; Lactobacillaceae
Description: partial 16S ribosomal RNA
Rfam family: Bacterial small subunit ribosomal RNA
Source: RNAcentral
GCCCAAGAGAUCGGGAUAACACCUGGAAACAGAUGCUAAUACCGGAUAACAACAGAUGAUGCCUAUCAACUGUUUAAAAGAUGGUUCUGCUAUCACUCUUGGAUGGACCUGCGGUGCAUUAGCUAGUUGGUAAGGUAACGGCCUACCAAGGCGAUGAUGCAUAGCCGAGUUGAGAGACUGAUCGGCCACAUUGGGACUGAGACACGGCCCAAACUCCUACGGGAGGCAGCAGCA